Molecule: RNA transcript, 2647 nt
Organism: Empidonax traillii (willow flycatcher)
Lineage: Eukaryota; Metazoa; Chordata; Aves; Passeriformes; Tyrannidae
Gene: HECA
Gene name: hdc homolog, cell cycle regulator
Exons: 5
Source: RefSeq, a predicted model, not a curated record
UCCUUCCGCAGCCGCCGCCGCCCGCCCGCCCCGCCGCCGCGGCGGCGGCUGGGCCCGCGAUGCCGAACCAGAAGGGCGGCAAGGGCAAGAAGAACAAGCGCGCCAACAGCAGCGGCGACGAGCAGGAGAACGGGGCGGCGGCGGGCGGCGGAGCCUCGGCGGCGGCAGGCGGCGGUGCCUCGGGUGGCGGAGCCGGAGCGGCGGCCGCGGGCGGCGGCGGCGGAGCGGGCGGCGGGGCAGGCGGAGCGGCGGCCGCGGGCGGCGCGGCGCCCGGAGACGUCAAGAGCGAAGCUCCUUGUGCUACUCCACUGAUCUGCAGCUUUGGAAGGCCAGUGGACCUGGAGAAGGAUGACUACCAGAAGGUUAUAUGCAACAAUGAGCACUGUCCGUAUAGCACUUGGAUGCACCUUCAGUGCUUCUACGAGUGGGAAAGCAGCAUCCUCGUCCAGUUCAAUUGCAUUGGCAGAGCCAGGAGCUGGAACGAAAAGCAGUGUCGCCAAAACAUGUGGACCAAGAAGGGAUAUGACCUGGCUUUUCGCUUUUGCUCCUGUCGGUGUGGGCAGGGUCAUUUAAAGAAGGACACUGACUGGUACCAGGUGAAACGAAUGCAGGAUGAUAAGAAGAAGAAAUCAGUGUUGGAGAAAAGUACGGGAAGGUCCAUGGCGGAGUCAGCAGAGGAGGCCAAAAAGGGCAGGCCGGCCAACAAGCCCCAGAAAGGCUUGAGUAACGACCUCCAGCGAAGGCACUCGAUGGACAGGCAGAACUCCCAAGAGAAGGGUGUGAUGGGCGGCAGCUACGCCGUUCGUUCACCUUGUGUCUCUCCUGGCCAAUCCCCGCCCACCGGCUACUCUAUUCUUGCCCCCACACACUUCAGUGGGCCUCGUUCCUCGCGAUACUUGGGAGAGUUUUUGAAGAACGCCAUUCACCUGGAGCCCCAUAAGAAGAACAUGGCUGGUGGGGGCAUGUUCAGGAAUGCACAUUUUGAUUACGGGGCAGCUGGCUUGCAAGCACAUAGGUCAGGACACUUUGAUGCUCCUGUGCAGUUUUUGAGAAGGCUCGAUCUAUCUGAGCUGCUCACCCACAUCCCCAGGCAUAAAUUGAAUACUUUCCAUGUGCGGAUGGAAGAUGAUGCCCAGGUGGGCCAAGGGGAAGACCUUCGGAAGUUCAUCCUUGCUGCUCUCAGUGCCAGCCACAGGAACGUUGUAAACUGUGCUCUAUGCCACAGGGCGCUGCCAGUGUUUGAACAGUUUCCGCUGGUGGAUGGGACCCUAUUCCUUAGCCCAUCAAGACAUGAUGAGAUUGAAUAUGAUGUUCCCUGUCACCUUCAAGGAAGGCUUAUGCACCUCUAUGCUGUUUGUGUAGACUGCUUAGAAGGGGUUCACAAAAUUAUCUGCAUCAAGUGCAAGUCCCGAUGGGAUGGAAGCUGGCAUCAGCUGGGAACUAUGUAUACCUACGAUAUUCUGGCAGCAUCUCCCUGUUGUCAGGCUCGACUGAACUGUAAGCACUGUGGGAAGCCAGUAAUAGAUGUACGGAUUGGCAUGCAGUAUUUCUCUGAAUACAGCAAUGUCCAGCAGUGUCCUCACUGUGGAAAUCUAGACUACCACUUCGUGAAGCCAUUUUCUUCAUUUAAAGUUUUGGAGGCUUAUUGACGAAAGCUUUGCUUUAGUAAUAGCUAUUUUAUGGGUAUUUCAACUUUAUUACAUAUCUUUUUAUAGGAUUCAUUCUGUGAUGAAAUUUAAUUUCUUUUCUAACUCAAAGAGCAGCUUCUUUGUCAGUGUACAUAUUAAUAUGUAUAUAUAUAUAUAUGUCGUUAAAACCAGAAUCCUCCUGACAAGAUCUCUGUGAAGGUUGGAGGCAAGCCAAUUUAAUGGCCUUUGAAUAUACUCCAAGUGUGGGGUAAAGAUCAGCUAAAAAUUAUUUGGGUUUAUUUUUUUGUAUAAUUGUAAUACAGUUUAUAGCAAGGGUGUGGGGAGACAUAUGGGACAGAGAAAUACGUCCAAUUGAAAAAUGGGUAGGGUUGUUCCUCCAGCUUGGUGAAAAUGGGAAAUCCUUGGAAAGAAAUGGUUCUUUUACUGCUGAAUUCAUUCAGCCCUUUGCAUCGGUCCCCAUGGGCGCAGGAGCUGGUCCCGUGCUGCCGGUGCCGCCAGUCCCUUCAGCAGGCUUUCUUUCAGAUUUCCCGAAACGGGGGGUAAACUAGGGUGUCAUGACAAGUGAAUGUAAAUGUAUGCCAGCAGAUGCAAUCUUGAAUGAGGUUUUUUGUUUUGGCAUAGCAUCUUCCUGCUGUGUGUGUUUGAUGUGCGUUGCCCUCAUGGCAAUAGUGCUGCUUCCAACGGGGCUGUCAUGUGCCCAGCUGGGUCACCUGCUCAUACCAAAACAAGCUGGAGAUCUUAAAAUGCUUUAUUUAAAGGUGUUUCUUCACAGACAUUUUAGGGAGGGAACUGGCUGAGCUGAGUGGGUAUGUGUUUGUAUGUGCCUGCUGGGGCUGAGGCUUUGCUGCCUGCUGCAGACUGGUGUGACUGAUGUGAAAGGAGAACCAUGAAGUGGGAUCUGGGCCCUCAGAUCUGUAAGAGCUGAGAGGUACUGAAUGUACAAAACAUGGCAUCACUUUUUAAAGCAAUUAAUUGCUGCAUCCUUAUAUUUCAGACAG